AUGAGCUUUCGCGAACAUCCAGUGCAGGGGGGCAAUGACCGAAAUGAACAACAUGGGAGACACAUACAAGAACUCCAUCAGUAUGCCCAAUACCUUUCUCACAUACAAGCCUCUGCUCCUUUCAACUGGAUUUGGUCCUCUAAAUGUUCUGCCAAGCUAAAGGGUUUUGCAUGGCUCCUUCUCAAUGAAAGAUUAAACAUGAGAGAUGCUACAAAGAAAAACUUUCGGGUCACAGAUAAUCACAGUAAUGAAGUUAACUCUGCUAUAUCUUCGGCUCAGAUGAGAUCCUUGAAUCUAGUGACCGUAUUUUAA
RNAcentral lists this ribosomal RNA (312 nucleotides) under Triticum aestivum (bread wheat). RNAcentral describes it as "partial small subunit ribosomal RNA". Lineage: Eukaryota; Viridiplantae; Streptophyta; Magnoliopsida; Poales; Poaceae. The record is from RNAcentral.